This 320-nucleotide ribosomal RNA is filed under the name uncultured Lachnospiraceae bacterium. Its description in RNAcentral is "bacterial SSU rRNA". It matches the Rfam family "Bacterial small subunit ribosomal RNA", at positions 28 to 339 of the family's 1533-position model. The record is from RNAcentral. Lineage: Bacteria; Bacillati; Bacillota; Clostridia; Lachnospirales; Lachnospiraceae.
GAUGAACGCUGGCGGCGUGCUUAACACAUGCAAGUCGAACGGGAAUUACAUUUUAGCUUGCUAAGUUGUAAUUCUAGUGGCGGACGGGUGAGUAACGCGUGGGUAACCUGCCUUAUACCGGGGGACAACAGUUGGAAACGGCUGCUAAUACCGCAUAAGCGCACAGUAUCGCAUGAUACAGUGUGAAAAACUCCGGUGGUAUAAGAUGGACCCGCGUCUGAUUAGAUAGUUGGUGAGGUAACGGCUCACCAAGUCGACGAUCAGUAGCCGGCCUGAGAGGGUGAACGGCCACAUUGGGACUGAGACACGGCCCAAACUCC